AUUGAGCCUUGAUGUGUAGGAUAGGUGGGAGGCUUUGAAGUGUGGACGCCAGUCUGCAUGGAGCCGACCUUGAAAUACCACCCUUUAAUGUUUGAUGUUCUAACGUGGACCCGUAAUCCGGGUUGCGGACAGUGUCUGGUGGGUAGUUUGACUGGGGCGGUCUCCUCCUAAAGAGUAACGGAGGAGCACGAAGGUUGGCUAAUCCUGGUCGGACAUCAGGAGGUUAGUGCAAUGGCAUAAGCCAGCUUGACUGCGAGCGUGACGGCGCGAGCAGGUGCGAAAGCAGGUCAUAGUGAUCCGGUGGUUCUGAAUGGAAGGGCCAUCGCUCAACGGAUAAAAGGUACUCCGGGGAUAACAGGCUGAUACCGCCCAAGAGUUCAUAUCGACGGCGGUGUUUGGCACCUCGAUGUCGGCUCAUCACAUCCUGGGGCUGAAGUAGGUCCCAAGGGUAUGGCUGUUCGCCAUUUAAAGUGGUACGCGAGCUGGGUUUAGAACGUCGUGAGACAGUUCGGUCCCUAUCUGCCGUGGGCGCUGGAGAACUGAGGGGGGCUGCUCCUAGUACGAGAGGACCGGAGUGGACGCAUCACUGGUGUUCGGGUUGUCAUGCCAAUGGCACUGCCCGGUAGCUAAAUGCGGAAGAGAUAAGUGCUGAAAGCAUCUAAGCACGAAACUUGCCCCGAGAUGAGUUC
Molecule: ribosomal RNA, 689 nt
Filed under: Salmonella enterica
Lineage: Bacteria; Pseudomonadati; Pseudomonadota; Gammaproteobacteria; Enterobacterales; Enterobacteriaceae
Description: partial 23S ribosomal RNA
Rfam family: Bacterial large subunit ribosomal RNA
Source: RNAcentral